GUUUUGACGUAUUUUCUAACCUCUUAGAAUGUUAUUAGAAGUCGUAAUAAAGCUAUGUUUUAAAGUAAAUAAAGACCAUAUUAACGAUGUUAACAUGAUGAGACAUCGAUUUUAUGGAAUGGAGGAGAAGAUUUAACAGCUAGAAAUUAACAAAAAUCCUGCAAGAGCAUCGAGAUCUCGCUUUUGGCGAGUGGAAGUCCAAAGGCAAAGUGCAGCGGUUUGCAGUUCUUAGCCUCACUUUUUUGGACCUAACAAGACAGGAAAAGAAUAGUCAAAGAGGAAACCCGAGUAGCCAGAUGAUAAUAUAUGAAACCAUGAGCAGCCAGCCAUUGAAACUCUCAGCAAUUUGAAUAACAAUUUUGAUUGAUUACCAAUCAUG
This is a long non-coding RNA of Ostrinia nubilalis (European corn borer), 379 nucleotides long. RefSeq lists it as uncharacterized. The transcript has 3 exons. The record is from RefSeq and is a predicted model, not a curated record. Lineage: Eukaryota; Metazoa; Arthropoda; Insecta; Lepidoptera; Crambidae.